CACAUGCAAGUCGAGCGGUAACAGAUCCAGCUUGCUGGAUGCUGACGAGCGGCGGACGGGUGAGUAAUGCAUAGGAAUCUGCCCGAUAGUGGGGGAUAACCUGGGGAAACCCAGGCUAAUACCGCAUACGUCCUACGGGAGAAAGGGGGCUCCGGCUCCCGCUAUGGGAUGAGCCUAUGUCGGAUUAGCUAGUUGGUGAGGUAACGGCUCACCAAGGCCACGAUCCGUAGCUGGUCUGAGAGGAUGAUCAGCCACAUCGGGACUGAGACACGGCCCGAACUCCUACGGGAGGCAGCAGUGGGGAAUAUUGGACAAUGGGGGCAACCCUGAUCCAGCCAUGCCGCGUGUGUGAAGAAGGCCCUCGGGUUGUAAAGCACUUUCAGCGAGGAAGAACGCCUAGCGGUUAAUACCCGCUAGGAAAGACAUCACUCGCAGAAGAAGCACCGGCUAACUCCGUGCCAGCAGCCGCGGUAAUACGGAGGGUGCAAGCGUUAAUCGGAAUUACUGGGCGUAAAGCGCGCGUAGGUGGCUUGAUAAGCCGGUUGUGAAAGCCCCGGGCUCAACCUGGGAACGGCAUCCGGAACUGUCAAGCUAGAGUGCAGGAGAGGAAGGUAGAAUUCCCGGUGUAGCGGUGAAAUGCGUAGAGAUCGGGAGGAAUACCAGUGGCGAAGGCGGCCUUCUGGACUGACACUGACACUGAGGUGCGAAAGCGUGGGUAGCAAACAGGAUUAGGUACCCUGGUAGUCCACGCCGUAAACGAUGUCGACCAGCCGUUGGGUGCCUAGCGCACUUUGUGGCGAAGUUAACGCGAUAAGUCGACCGCCUGGGGAGUACCGGCCGCAAGGUUAAAACUCAAAUGAAUUGACGGGGGGCCGCACAGGCGGUGGAGCAUGUGUUUAAUUCGAUGCCACGCGAAGAACCUUACCUACUCUGGACAUCCUGCGAUUUGUAAGAGAUACCUUAGUGCCUUCGGAACGCAGAGAACUGGUGCUGCAUGGCUAGUCGUCAGUCGUGUGUGAAUGUUGUAGUUCCGAACCCGAGCUAACCCUUGUCCUUAUUUAGCACGCGUAAUGGCGGACAUCUAAAGGAAAAUCG
This 1095-nucleotide ribosomal RNA is filed under the name uncultured Halomonas sp. RNAcentral's name for it is "bacterial SSU rRNA". It matches the Rfam family "Bacterial small subunit ribosomal RNA", at positions 52 to 1152 of the family's 1533-position model. The record is from RNAcentral. Lineage: Bacteria; Pseudomonadati; Pseudomonadota; Gammaproteobacteria; Oceanospirillales; Halomonadaceae.